RNAcentral lists this ribosomal RNA (271 nucleotides) under uncultured bacterium. Its description in RNAcentral is "partial 16S ribosomal RNA". It matches the Rfam family "Bacterial small subunit ribosomal RNA", at positions 524 to 794 of the family's 1533-position model. The record is from RNAcentral.
UACGGGAGGGGCAAGCGUUGUUCGGAAUUACUGGGCGUAAAGGGCUCGUAGGCGGCCAAUUAAGUCAUACGUGAAAUCCCUCGGCUUAACCGGGGAACUGCGUAUGAUACUGGAUGGCUUGAGUUCGGGAGAGGGAUGCGGAAUUCCAGGUGUAGCGGUGAAAUGCGUAGAUAUCUGGAGGAACACCGGUGGCGAAGGCGGCAUCCUGGACCGAUACUGACGCUGAGGAGCGAAAGCCAGGGGAGCAAACGGGAUUAGAUACCCCGGUAGU